RNAcentral lists this ribosomal RNA (468 nucleotides) under uncultured bacterium. Its description in RNAcentral is "partial 16S ribosomal RNA". It matches the Rfam family "Bacterial small subunit ribosomal RNA", at positions 28 to 507 of the family's 1533-position model. The record is from RNAcentral.
GAUGAACGCUGGCGGCGUGCUUAACACAUGCAAGUCGAACGGAAAGGCCGAAGCUUGCUUCGGUCCUCGAGUGGCGAACGGGUGAGUAACACGUGGGUGAUCUGCCCUGUACUUCGGGAUAAGCUUGGGAAACUGGGUCUAAUACCGGAUAUGACGAUCUCUUGGGUGGGGUUGUGGAAAGCUUUUGCGGUAUGGGAUGAGCUCGCGGCCUAUCAGCUUGUUGGUGGGGUAAUGGCCUACCAAGGCGUCGACGGGUAGCCGGCCUGAGAGGGUGUACGGCCGCAUUAGGACUGAGAUACAGCCCAGACUCCUACGGGAUGCAGUAGUGGGGAAUAUUGCACAAUGGGCGCAAGCCUGAGGCAGCGACGCCGCGUGGGGGAUGACGGCCUUCGGGGUGUAAACUCCUUUAGCAAUCGACGAAGCCUUUUGGUGACGGUAGGUUGAGAAGAAGCACCGGCUAACUACGUG